ACUAAUCGAUAGUAUCCAAAAAAAUUCAGCAAGAAAUUAGGAAAUCUUGUAUUGUUCAACCGUUUCUUCUCCAAUUUCUCCAAUACUUUUGGAAACCAAAUUAGUGAUUGAAAUUUUAAAACACGUCAAAUCCCUAAACAUUUCUCCAUUCCAAAAUCAGCACUCAUUGAUUAGCAAGAUCGGAUUUAAUUCCAUGGCAAUCCAUUAAUUCUAGCUCCUUAUUCUCUUUUUGUAACCCUAGGUUUUUGAUUUUCUGAAACAUCAUAUGGAAAUCUAUAUCGUUCUCAAUAUUAUAUGCUCGAGUGUUGGAUGUGCGUACAUUUGGGGUUCUCGGUAUAUCAGUUUUGAUUGUGCACUUUCUUCUUCAACUUCACUGGUAACGAAAGUGUGUAUUCAUGAGGAUGGGGAACUUUCGGCCGCCUUGGCACUGUUCUGAGCUCGAUAGCCUUUUUUUGACCAAAAUUGAAUUUAAUUCUACAGAUAGGAGAGAAAGGGUCAAAAUCAUCCAAAUAUCAUCUGGUGUUACCACGGUCUCCCUGAUUCUGGUAACAUUCGUAUUUUCAAAGUAAGUAAUCCAAGUAUCAUCUGCCAUCAGGUAAAUAUUUUUCUUAAGUUGUGUGUCUGAUAAUGAUUUCUAUGUUGCUGUUGUGUGGUUUAUUUGUCUAUUGCUAUUGUGUAUAACAAAGACAUCUUAAAUCUGCACUAGCUUAUAAUUAAUCUUAUUGUUAUACCAAGCUUCAUCAAGAUAAGCAAUGAUACUACCAGGUUUCUGCAAUAUAGAUACAACUUUAGAGUUUUAUGGUUGAAAUAAUGAAAAAUAUAAAUAAAUGUAGUUGAAAGUGACUAUACCUUUUCGAUGAGAUCUAGAACAUCUUGGGUAUCAACAAAUUGAAUGUAACUCCAAUUGAUAGCCUCUUUUUUUAUUCUUUUUGCUCUAUCUUAAAGGCAUGUCGUUGUUCAAACAACUCAUGCUAAUAGUUAGUUAUUUUAAAAAUAAUUAUCUGGUUGAAAUGUUGCUGCAAAUUCUCAUUUGUAAAGUUAAUCACAAAUUGCUCAAAGUUGUGUGUAUCAUGAAAUAGAGACAACAAUAACAAAUGUGACUUUUUAAAUCUUUUCAAAGUCAAAAAUGGUAAUACAUUAUUUGAAACUAGGUUACUAACCUGAACACUUGAAAAAAUAAAAUAACCUUUAUAAAUUCUAUUUUCUGUUUUAAAAGCUUCAUAUCAUUAUAUUGUUUUUUUUUUCAGUUUAAGUCGGCCAAAUUAACAUAAGAAAAGAUAAAUUAUGCCAUUUUUUCCGAGAGUUUCAUAUUAGUAAGAGGUUCUUUUUUAUAGUAAUUCAGAGGUCCACAUGACAAAAAAGAAAAAAAAAUGUCAAAAUGACCAAAUUGACCAAUUAUAGCAAUGUACUUUGAAAGGCAAAAAAAAUGAAACUACACGCUAUUAUCAAUUAAGAAAUGUAUGUAGUUGUAAUGGGUAAAUUAAUAAAAAAAAAUCAAAAAUAUUUAUUAGUUUUUAAGAUUUCGAAUUAUAAAUAUUUUUUUUUCUCACUAGAAAUGUCAAAGAUUGAUAAACAAUUAAACAUGAUGGUGGUCAAGGUAAAGUUAAAUAGUCACUUAAAUAGGCUGGUGAAUCUUGGUGUUAAAGGUUAGAAAUCCAUUAAACCAAAAAAUGAUAUUUUAGGCAUAAGCAUUUACUUCUUAUUAUUUUUUUUUAAAUUAUGUAUUAAGAAUUUUUGACAGAUUAUACCACAUGUAGUAUGUUUGGCUAAAACAACGGAUAAGAAGAUACUUGGUAGCCAUUCAGGUAUAAAAAGUUGAUAUUUUGUUGGAGUUUUUUAUUGUUAUUAUUAUUUAUUUUGUCAUGUUAAUUACUAAAUAAUUAUAUAUUUUAUCAAAACUUAGACGGCGUCAGAGAUUUUUACCUUUUUGUAAUUGGUAAUCACAUUCCCUUGACACCAUAUUGAUAGAUAUGAAACCCGAGAAUUACAAAUACAUUUCCUAUAUUAUAUUCCCUUGACAACAUAAUGUUUUUUUCCUUUUGUAAUUGGUAUCUUGAAAUUUGUUUUCUUAGUACUAAAGACCUAAACAAACAAAAAAUAUUUAUCUUUCCGAGUAGUAAUGAAUUAAUAGUAGUGUUGUUUGCUCAAUAUUUAUCACUAAUUUAAAUUUUUAUAUCUGGUUGGUUGCAGGUUAGACAUAAAUUACCUGUAUGAUGUGGCAUAGGUUAACGGGUUUUUGUACAGUCAUUGUCCAUGUGAAAAAUAUAUGUAUUUUGCUGUUUGGAGAAAUUCAUUCUGUAAGUAAUUAUUUCUCCUUUCAUCAUAUAUGUUUAAUGUACAUGUAUUAACAUUGGAGGGUUGACUGUCAUGUGUUAUUAAAGUAUUUCUGUUAACUAUAGGACCACAGUAAGAAAACAUCAUGCGUUUGAAUUUUAAAAAUGGGGAACAUUUGAAUGUUCAUGCCCAGUUGUGACUUCUUGCAUAUUCGUGAUUUAGCUAAGGUUUUAUAAGGCCAUUAAGAAAUUUAGGAGUUGUGGACAAUCGGACACAUUAGGAGUAAGUUGAAAUAUUGUAUUGAUAGUUGUGAAACUCAAAUAGAGCACUCAAUGAUUUAGACAAUUAAAAAUUUAGACAAAAAAACUUAUAUCUUAUUAAUUUAAUAAAAUUUUAUAUA
Long non-coding RNA from Lactuca sativa (garden lettuce), 2674 nucleotides. RefSeq lists it as uncharacterized. The record is from RefSeq and is a predicted model, not a curated record. NCBI's taxonomy places the organism in Eukaryota, Viridiplantae, Streptophyta, Magnoliopsida, Asterales, Asteraceae.